AAAGCUUGCUUUUCUGAAUCUAGUGGCGGACGGGUGAGUAACGCGUGAGGAACCUGCCUUGGAGUGGGGAAUAACACAACGAAAGCUGUGCUAAUACCGCAUGAUGCAGUUGGGUCGCAUGGCCCUGACUGCCAAAGAUUUAUCGCUCUGAGAUGGCCUCGCGUCUGAUUAGCUAGUUGGCGGGGUAACGGCCCACCUAGUCUUCGAUGGAUAGGGGUUCUGAGAGGAAGGUCCCCACAUUGGAACUGAGACACGGUCCAAACUCC
RNAcentral lists this ribosomal RNA (266 nucleotides) under uncultured bacterium. Its description in RNAcentral is "partial 16S ribosomal RNA". It matches the Rfam family "Bacterial small subunit ribosomal RNA", at positions 75 to 339 of the family's 1533-position model. The record is from RNAcentral.